Molecule: long non-coding RNA, 540 nt
Filed under: Neogobius melanostomus (round goby)
Lineage: Eukaryota; Metazoa; Chordata; Actinopteri; Gobiiformes; Gobiidae
Description: lncRNA (ENSNMLG00000003335.1)
Source: RNAcentral
AGUAACCAAGAAGUAAACAACGCUGCCCAGCGCAGCUGUUAGCAGCUAUCGUAAUGAAAAUCCUACUUUCUGAAGGCAAACUUUAGAUUUCUGCAGCGAGAACAACUCGAGCAGCGUGGGCAACAUUCAAGAAGAUCCAAACGAGUGGAUAUCGCCCACAGACCUGUUAUAAUCCCUGGAUAGCGAGUACAAUGAACUGGAAACUUCCCACAAAGAUAUCGACAGAUCUUUGCCAGGCAAAGACUCCUAAAAACGGCAGCCAGGUGGCUGUCCUACUCGACAACUACAUGAUGAAAAGAUUACGUUGCGGUGGAGGCCUGGUGCUGUAAAGCACAGACUUGCUUCAUUUAAAGACUCAACAUGAAAGAGUGAGUGGGAGAACCUGCCAUCUGUGGCUACAUACAAGAUCUUAUGUGAUUGUCUAGAGGAUUUUGGACGACAGAAGAAUGAUUCUGAUGAGCACUCUUCUAAGAUCAUCAAUAAAACUGCAGUCGUCAGAGGCCUCAGAUUACAGGUUAAUGUAUUUUUCUGUUUAUCACC